UACAGGCUUAAACACAUGCAAGUCGAGGGGAAAACGGGCAUCAAGCGCUUGCGCCUGAUGGACGUCGACCGGCGCACGGGUGAGUAACGCGUAUCCAACCCUGCCCCACACUAAGGGAUAACCCGCAGAAAUGUGGACUAAUACCUUAUAUUUUCCACCAAGGGGCAUCGUCGAUGGAACAAAAGAUUUAUCGGUAUGGGAUGGGGAUGCGUCCGAUUUAGGUUGUUGGCGGGGUAACGGCCCACCCAAGCCCUUCGAUCGGUAGGGGUUCUGAGAGGAAGGUCCCCCACAUAGGAACUGAGACACGGUCCUAACUCCUACGGGAGGCAGCAGUGAGGAAUAUUGGUCAAUGGGCGUGAGCCUGAACCAGCCAAGUAGCGUGCAGGAAGACGGCCCUAUGGGUUGUAAACUGCUUUUAUGCGGGGAUAAAGGAGUCCACGUGUGGAUUUUUGCAGGUACCGCAUGAAUAAGGACCGGCUAAUUCCGUGCCAGCAGCCGCGGUAAU
This 505-nucleotide ribosomal RNA is filed under the name uncultured Prevotella sp. RNAcentral describes it as "bacterial SSU rRNA". It matches the Rfam family "Bacterial small subunit ribosomal RNA", at positions 41 to 524 of the family's 1533-position model. The record is from RNAcentral. Lineage: Bacteria; Pseudomonadati; Bacteroidota; Bacteroidia; Bacteroidales; Prevotellaceae.